CCCGCGGCUCUGAGGGGGCGGAACCGAGCGCGGCGGAAGUUCCGCUGGGGCUGUCCCCGCCCCGCCGUUUCCGCUUCCGGCCUGCGCUGCGCCUGCGCUGUGGCCCGAGGGGCUGGUCGGGGCCCUGUGUGCGUUGGGACCCGGCGCGCUCAGAGGGGUCCCCCCACAGAUGCCUCCGUUCUGCGCCUCUGGAGGGGCAUCGAGGCGUAGUUCGGAGCUCGGGGGUCCCCGGCCGGAGCCCCACAGGGCCUGCGCUUGUGCCCCCCGCCGGCAGCCAUUGGCCUACAGGCUGUGUGGCCUCCGUGACCCUCCCCGUCACCCCGCUCCGCCCCCGCGGCGUCUCCCCACCCCCCCACCCCGCUCCCCCGCGCAGUGCCCCCCACGCCCCCUGCGGCGGAACCCUCCGACCGCACGUCCCCUCCCCCCCGCAGCACCCCCACGGUCCCCGGGCCCGGAGGAAUCACACAGCAGGGAGGGCCGAGGGCCUGGGGUGCCCCAGGUUUAUUAGUGUCGCAUCAGCACCUUAGAAUAGUCCGCGCGGUCGCAUACGUGACAGGUCAGACUCUGUCCCCGAAAAGGCUAUUUACAUGAAUCCUGUUUUCCACGUGGAAGGGAAAAGAGCCCGAGCAACACGCACGUCCUAGAGACCGAGCAGUGCGGGGAACAGAACCGGUCUGCACAGACGGGGCACCCCCUCGCCAUAGCGCUAGGCCCCCGCGGAGGCCGCCCUGCCCGUAGACUCCUGCGCCCAUGGAGGCCGGCCUGGGAGCUCAGGCAGCUGACCCCAGAAGCGGGGGCCCCGUCUGCUAAAGAGGAACCUGCUCCAGGACAAAGGCCAGACCCUGAGAGCAGUCUGGUCUCCCACCUGGGGGCGAGGACACUGCGGCAAGGCGGUCCCCGGCCACUCCCUGCGACACAGCCAUGACACGGACUCAGGACACUGGCUGGCAUGCCCUGAGGACACAGUGACCCUGGGGGAGAGCACGGGAGGAGUGAGGAGGCGGUGGGACCCCACCUGGCCUGGGCCUUGCCCAGUGGUGAUGGGUGGCUUGCCCCUUGAGUCCCAGGUUACAUCUGGUUGCCCAAUGGGCUGAGAACACUUGGUCUGAGGGGACUGCUUCUGCCUGGGACCCCGAGCCCCGUGCUGACCGCUGCACUCUGGCUCCGUCACAGAUGGUUUUGGCUUCUGAGUCAUCUUCCUUGGAGGGACAAAGUGCUUUUCCAUGGAUCCUCAGAAUAGCUCCAUGAGGUAGGCAGGGGAAACAGGACCCUCCCUGUUUAGCCACUGGGGAAGCUGAGGCACAGGUCAGUUCUGCAGGUAGAAAGUGAAGUCAGGAGUCUCACCUGUCCCUCCUUCCUGCUGAGUCACUUUUGGAAAGGAACCUUGAGGACCAGUGACCAAGGCCCUGAGGCCCAGCAGCGGGAACAGGGCAGGGAGGCUCAAGGUCCCAGGGCCUGCUUCUGAGGGGCACUCCCGACGGGAGGCCGGCCUUCAGCGUCCAGCCACCCAGCUCUGUGCCUGCGCACACAGGCACCCGUGGAUCUGUGCGGCCACCCGCCUGACCCCAGCUCCCUGAGGAAGCAGAGUCCUGGCUUUCAGGAAGGACAGGACGCGAAGGUGAGGACCCUUCUUGCUGGGGGGGCUCGGGAGGUCCUGAGGCUGGAACACACCUCGUGGUUCUCCAAGCUCAGUGCUGCCCGCCCGACCUCCCCACGCCUCCCCCGCCCCCCCUGGCACAUCUGGUUAAAGGCAGAGCAGUUAAUGGGCUCCAGGGGUGGGGGCUCCUGGCGAGUUUCCGGGUGGAGAGCACAUUCAUACUUAAGACUGUUUUUCUUUGUGUUUUUAAGGGUCUCUGUAGUAAACUGAAAUGUUAACAGAAAAGCAGCUGGGCCCUCCCGGCGCUCGCCGUCCAGGGCUUCGGGGCAGGGCUAGCAGGCGGACUUGGAGUGUCCGAAGAUGCAGAUGGGGAAGUGCUUCACGUGGGAGGACCACUGGGCCGCCAGCUGGAAGAACUUCACGUCGUUCCACUCCACACCGUCGAUGAGGACUGUGAGGACAAGACCACCUGACCCGCCUGCCCACCGUGCCCCGGCUCCCCCAGGGACCCCAGGCGCCUGUGAGGCACGCGCCGGCUAGUCCUCCCACCGCCAUCCACAGCCCCGCAGCCCCUGCAGGGGUGUGCUGGGUCAAACACCCUCCGCUUAAACUGGAAAAGCCACGGAGGAAGGCAGAGCCGUUCUCGACCACGGUGGUCAUCAGACUCAGACUCAUGAAGAGAAAACCGUUCUGGGCUCCGUUUUCUGAAUUAACGAGUUGCAGAAAAUCUUCUAUAAAAGGUCUAAGAUAUAAAAAUCAAUCUUAAAAGAAGG
Molecule: long non-coding RNA, 2370 nt
Organism: Lutra lutra (Eurasian river otter)
Lineage: Eukaryota; Metazoa; Chordata; Mammalia; Carnivora; Mustelidae
Exons: 3
Source: RefSeq, a predicted model, not a curated record